GACGAACGCUGGCGGCGUGCCUAAUACAUGCAAGUAGAACGCUGAAGGAGGAGCUUGCUUCUCUGGAUGAGUUGCGAACGGGUGAGUAACGCGUAGGUAACCUGCCUGGUAGCGGGGGAUAACUAUUGGAAACGAUAGCUAAUACCGCAUAAGAGUAGAUGUUGCAUGACAUUUGCUUAAAAGGUGCAAUUGCAUCACUACCAGAUGGACCUGCGUUGUAUUAGCUAGUUGGUGAGGUAACGGCUCACCAAGGCGACGAUACAUAGCCGACCUGAGAGGGUGAUCGGCCACACUGGGACUGAGACACGGCCCAGACUCCUACGGGAGGCAGCAGUAGGGAAUCUUCGGCAAUGGACGGAAGUCUGACCGAGCAACGCCGCGUGAGUGAAGAAGGGUGUCGGAUCGUAAAGCUCGGUUGUAAGAGAAGAACGAGUGUGAGAGUGGAAAGUUCACACUGUGACGGUAUCUUACCAGAAAGGGACGGCUAACUACGUG
This 495-nucleotide ribosomal RNA is filed under the name uncultured bacterium. RNAcentral's name for it is "partial 16S ribosomal RNA". It matches the Rfam family "Bacterial small subunit ribosomal RNA", at positions 28 to 507 of the family's 1533-position model. The record is from RNAcentral.